RNAcentral lists this unclassified non-coding RNA (805 nucleotides) under Bacillus subtilis subsp. subtilis str. 168. Its description in RNAcentral is "intron of subunit F of phage SPbeta ribonucleotide reductase containing CDS for homing endonuclease". The record is from RNAcentral. Lineage: Bacteria; Bacillati; Bacillota; Bacilli; Caryophanales; Bacillaceae.
UUAAUAGUCCCUUUUGUCGGCAACGGCAAAUGUGAACCUCUCUAAUUGCUGGAAAAUCCUUAUUAGGACAAUCAGCAGCGAAGCUAUGCGAACCCAAAGGAGGUGAAAAUGAUAAGGAAAGAAGUCGAAGAAGCACCUUGGUGGAUAACGGAAACGGGAGUUAUCAUAUCAAAAAAAUUAAAGAAACCAAGAAAGACAUUUAUUACUCCACAUGGCUAUGAAAUGAUAGGAUACACGCAUCCGAAAAAAGGAACACAGAACUAUUUAGUACAUAGGUUAGUCGCAAAAUAUUUUAUUUAUGAUAUACCAAAAGGAAUGUUUGUAAACCACAUAGAUGGAAAUAAACUAAACAACCACGUUCGGAACUUAGAAAUAGUUACACCUAAAGAAAAUACUCUACAUGCAAUGAAAAUUGGAUUAAUGUCAGGACAACCUGGAGAAAGUAAUUCAAUGUCAAAGCUCACUAAUAUGGAGGCAACAAAUUUAAUCUAUGAUUUGAUUGCUGGAAUGAACAAUGUUGAAGCUGGUGAAAAAUACAGCCUUCAUCCUCGUUACGUUAGUCUAAUUCGACAUAAAAGAAGAUGGAAGACUUUAUGGGAUCGCAUAGAACGUUCAACGACUAUCGCAUAGGCGGCGAAAUUCCGCAAAACGAGUAGGGCGCAAGCUAUUGGCGUGGGUGAGAACCCCUUAAAUCGAAACGGGAGGCAUCCUACAGGGAUGAUGAUAUAGUCUGCUCCUUACGGUAACGUAAGGCGGUUGCGACAGAGCAACGAACCGAAAGUAGCGAACUCGGUUGAACUAAGGG